This 459-nucleotide ribosomal RNA is filed under the name uncultured bacterium. RNAcentral's name for it is "partial 16S ribosomal RNA". It matches the Rfam family "Bacterial small subunit ribosomal RNA", at positions 338 to 795 of the family's 1533-position model. The record is from RNAcentral.
CCUACGGGAGGCAGCAGUGAGGAAUAUUGGUCAAUGGGCGGAAGCCUGAACCAGCCAAGUAGCGUGCGGGAUGAAGGCCCUACGGGUCGUAAAUCGCUUUUGCACGGGGAUAACACCCUCCACUUGUGGAGGUCUGCAGGUACCGUGCGUAUAAGGGCCGGCAAAUUCCGGUCCAGCAGCCGCGGUAAGACGGAGGGCCCGAGCUUUAUCCGGUUUCCAUGGGCUGAAAGGGAGCGUAGGCGGGCGUUCAAGUCAGCAGUAAAAUCACGGGGCGCAACCGCGCCCCGCAGUUGAAACUGGAAGCCUUGAGUUCGAAACAGGCAGGCGGAAUUCGUGGUGUAGCGGUGAAAUGCGUAGAUAUCACGAGGAACCCCGAAUGCGAAGGCAGCCUGCCGGGGUGCGACUGACGCUGAGGCUCGAAGGUGCGGGUAUCAAACAGGAUUAGAUACCCGAGUAGUC